UCAAACCAUGGAUCUGUGUAUUUGAGAUUCUAAGCGAUGGAUCGGUGGAUCUGAGCUUCAAUUUCUAACUGAGCGCUAUCAAUCCGCUAUCAAUCCCCUCUUCAUCUUCAUCUUCGUCACUAAUUUUUUCAUUAGUUUCAUGGGUAUGUGUAUUUGUGAUUUUUGUUUCAUGGGUUUGCUCAAAAUCGAAUUGGGUCUGUGAUUCGAAGGCUUUUUCUUCAUGAAUUUGUUCAACAACGAAAUGGGUCUUGGAUCAGUCCCUUUUUUUUCUUCUCAAUCUAUCCCCAAACCGUAGUAGGAUUCCCAAUUUUCUAGGGUUCUUCCCCAAUUUCAAAUCCAC
RNAcentral lists this long non-coding RNA (340 nucleotides) under Panax ginseng (ginseng). RNAcentral describes it as "long non-coding RNA (PGIN_LNC014381)". Lineage: Eukaryota; Viridiplantae; Streptophyta; Magnoliopsida; Apiales; Araliaceae. The record is from RNAcentral.